Molecule: long non-coding RNA, 476 nt
Organism: Plodia interpunctella (Indianmeal moth)
Lineage: Eukaryota; Metazoa; Arthropoda; Insecta; Lepidoptera; Pyralidae
Exons: 3
Source: RefSeq, a predicted model, not a curated record
CUCGAACGUUCGAACGAUCACAACGCGUGUAUCUCUUAAACGGGUUGUAAAAAAUUGUGUGUUCUGUGUAAAGUGUGCUUGAGACUUGAAUCUAGAGUGACUUAUUGGCACAAGAGCAACAAAAACAUCACCAGAAUAGCUGCAAAGUCGUCAAAUCAUGUUUUUGCCCGCGGCUUCGCCAGCUUGGAUUUCCGUCGGAAACAGUAAAUUGUCCAGGAUGAAAGGUAUCGUACUCCUAAAUUAGCGUGAAGAGGUAACAAACAAACAAACUUACUUUCGCUUUUAUAAUAUUAAUUAUGAUUUAGUAUUUUUUGUUGUCAUCCUUAAAUAUUAUACAAUAAAGUCCUCUGCGGCGUCUGUCUGUCUGUUCGCGAUAAACUCGAACUAUUGCACAGAUUUUCGUGUGUUUUUUACCAAUAGAUCGUUUAAUUCCUGAGGAAGGUUUAGAUAUAUUUAUAAGAUUUUUUGUCGAUUCU